GCCGUAACAAGGUUUCCGUAGGUGAACCUGCGGAAGGAUCAUUG
This 44-nucleotide ribosomal RNA is filed under the name Hoya gracilis. Its description in RNAcentral is "partial 18S ribosomal RNA". It matches the Rfam family "Eukaryotic small subunit ribosomal RNA", at positions 1788 to 1831 of the family's 1831-position model. The record is from RNAcentral. Lineage: Eukaryota; Viridiplantae; Streptophyta; Magnoliopsida; Gentianales; Apocynaceae.